This 458-nucleotide ribosomal RNA is filed under the name uncultured bacterium. Its description in RNAcentral is "bacterial SSU rRNA". It matches the Rfam family "Bacterial small subunit ribosomal RNA", at positions 52 to 511 of the family's 1533-position model. The record is from RNAcentral.
CACAUGCAAGUCGAGCGAAGCGGCUGAAUUGAUUCUUCGGAUGAUUUUCAGUUGACUGAGCGGCGGACGGGGUGAGUAACGCGUGGGUGACCUGCCCCGUACCGGGGGAUAACAGCUGGAAACGGCUGCUAAUACCGCAUAAGCGCACAGAGCUGCAUGGCUCGGUGUGAAAAACUCCGGUGGUAUGGGAUGGGCCCGCGUCUGAUUAGGCAGUUGGCGGGGUAACGGCCCACCAAACCGACGAUCAGUAGCCGGCCUGAGAGGGCGACCGGCCACAUUGGGACUGAGACACGGCCCAAACUCCUACGGGAGGCAGCAGUGGGGAAUAUUGCACAAUGGGGGAAACCCUGAUGCAGCGACGCCGCGUGAGCGAAGAAGUAUUUCGGUAUGUAAAGCUCUAUCAGCAGGGAAGAUAAUGACGGUACCUGACUAAGAAGCCCCGGCUAACUACGUGCCAG